UAUUCUUGAUCAGGCAUUCCAGGAAAUUAA
RNAcentral lists this non-coding RNA (30 nucleotides) under Rattus norvegicus (Norway rat). Lineage: Eukaryota; Metazoa; Chordata; Mammalia; Rodentia; Muridae. The record is from RNAcentral.